This 460-nucleotide ribosomal RNA is filed under the name uncultured bacterium. RNAcentral describes it as "partial 16S ribosomal RNA". It matches the Rfam family "Bacterial small subunit ribosomal RNA", at positions 338 to 795 of the family's 1533-position model. The record is from RNAcentral.
CCUACGGGAGGCAGCAGUGAGGAAUAUUGGUCAAUGGGCGUAAGCCUGAACCAGCCAAGUCGCGUGAGGGAUGAAGGCUCUAUGGAUCGUAAACCUCUUUUAUAAAGGAAUAAAGUGUGGGACGUGUCCUGUUUUGUAUGUACCUUAUGAAUAAGGAUCGGCUAACUCCGUGCCAGCAGCCGCGGUAAUACGGAGGAUCCGAGCGUUAUCCGGAUUUAUUGGGUUUAAAGGGUGCGUAGGCGGCCGUUUAAGUCAGCGGUGAAAGUCUGUGGCUCAACCAUAGAAUUGCCGUUGAGACUGGGAGGCUUGAGUAUGGUUGAGGCAGGCGGAAUGCGUGGUGUAGCGGUGAAAUGCUUAGAGAUCACGCAGAACCCCGAUUGCGAAGGCAGCCUGCCAAGCCAUGACUGACGCUGAUGCACGAAAGCGUGGGGAUCAAACAGGAUUAGAUACCCCAGUAGUC